Myotis davidii is the source of this 803-nucleotide long non-coding RNA. RefSeq lists it as uncharacterized. The record is from RefSeq and is a predicted model, not a curated record. Lineage: Eukaryota; Metazoa; Chordata; Mammalia; Chiroptera; Vespertilionidae. The transcript is spliced from 3 exons.
ACUGUACCUCCUUCUCUCUCUCAAAUCAGUAAAUACAUUUUUUAAGCAUAUGUUUUUAAAAAAGAGAACAAGAUCAACAUUUCCCAAAACUUUCCUCAGAACACUAAUUAUGUGAGGUUUAAUGGUUAUGCUAAAUUUUUUUAAAAGCUUUGUAGUCAAAUUUGGGGAAUGCUGAGUUCAAGUCAGGCACGUUUCUUUGCAGCAAGCACUUGCAGCACUCUGGAAUGCUCAUGGACUCUGGCCCUCCAAGAGGGAGGGUGGUACGCUGUGCGGGGAGGCGUGGCUUUAACAGUCCGAGAGCCGUCCUCCAUGUGUGGCCCGAUGGAGCUCCUUGGUGUUUGUUGAACAUAUAAACUGUAGGUCUUGCCUUUGACGUAGAGGGACUCUGGAGCCUAGAUUUUGCUAAGCCCCACCUGGUGAUUCUGGUGCCUCCCCAAAGUUUGAGAUCCACUGACAGAGGAGUACAGUUUGGGGAAAUAUGGAUUAGCAGGAGCCCCUCCAGCUGGGAAAACAUGAGGUUACAGACAAGACCUGUGCUGUCCCCGGAGCACCCAAAGUAAGGGCUGCUGCCUCUCUCCCACCCACCCGCAGGGUAUGGGCACUUUACGGGAAGAAGGAGGCAUUGACAAAUGAGUUCAGGGUGCAAAUCCGUGUAGCUCCAACAGUACAUAGGGAUUGGAGGUAUGAAAUGGGAGCAGGGUACCAGAUGGGUCGGCCACCAACUGCACCCGAAUCCGCCAGUCAUUCUACUCUGACUGUACAGGAGUGAUGGGUGAUCACAGUGAAUCCUGCAAGAUUAAAUG